GACGAACGCUGGCGGCGUGCCUAAUACAUGCCAGUAGAACGCACAGUUUAUACCGUAGCUUGCUACACCAUAGACUGUGAGUUGCGAACGGGUGAGUAACGCGUAGGUAACCUGCCUGGUAGCGGGGGAUAACUAUUGGAAACGAUAGCUAAUACCGCAUAAUAUUAAUUAUUGCAUGAUAAUUAAUUGAAAGGUGCAAUUGCACCACUACCAGAUGGACCUGCGUUGUAUUAGCUAGUAGGUGAGGUAACGGCUCACCUAGGCGACGAUACAUAGCCGACCUGAGAGGGUGAUCGGCCAAACUGGGACUGAGACACGGCCCAGACUCCUACGGGAGGCAGCAGUAGGGAAUCUUCGGCAAUGGACGAAAGUCUGACCGAGCAACGCCGCGGGAGUGAAGAAGGGUUUCGGAUCGUAAAGCUCUGUUGUAAGAGAAGAACGGGUGUGAGAGUGGAAAGUUCACACUGUGACGGUAUCUUACCAGAAAGGGACGGCUAACUACGUG
RNAcentral lists this ribosomal RNA (505 nucleotides) under uncultured bacterium. RNAcentral's name for it is "partial 16S ribosomal RNA". It matches the Rfam family "Bacterial small subunit ribosomal RNA", at positions 28 to 507 of the family's 1533-position model. The record is from RNAcentral.